Molecule: long non-coding RNA, 3055 nt
Organism: Pseudophryne corroboree (corroboree frog)
Lineage: Eukaryota; Metazoa; Chordata; Amphibia; Anura; Myobatrachidae
Exons: 3
Source: RefSeq, a predicted model, not a curated record
UUUGUUUCCGCUUUGCAGCCUAUUCUCUGUCUAGCAGAACUAUUUCUUUGUCUGCCUCUCUCCUCAUCCACUAACUCAGUCUCCAACUGAGUCAUUUAUUUACUUUGAAACUAACUUACUACAGGUACCUUUGCCGACUCUACUUUUUUUUUUACACGUCGUAAAUAGGAUUCCUUGAAAUUCAUCAACACCAUCAUGGACAAACUGAACGCAGGUUGCCUCCAGAUCCGAGGUGAAGAGAACAGUUACUGGAACAUGUGAGAAAUAUAAGACUAUAAACUAAUCGCCUCAUCUAAUUGUGAAAAACUAUCAAAUUCUACAUUCUUUUCAGCUCAUAAAAUCUGGGAAACUGACCAUGCAAUGAUGCCAGAGGAAUUGUACUUGGCACAAUAAUAGUGCAGACAUCCAGCAAGGAAAGUGACGUCAAAAUGGGCUCUGCGUCAAUCUGAAAAAAAUAUUUUAAUUUUUUUAUAUUUUUUUGUGGCCCCCGGUCUUGUAGAGAACAAAAGAGCUUCUUUCAUUCAUCAUUUGGAAAAUGGACUGGCACUCGUGAACACAUUGCUCACCAUCCAGAUCAUUGAGCAAUAACAGGAUAAGGAUUUUCUCCUGGAACCUCAUCUAAGACGUAUGAUCUACAUAAGCCCUUAUCAUGAACCAGGUAAAGUGUCUGGAGCCAGACGUCUGCUAACAUGGUCAGACUCCCUGCCGGAAUCUGGAUGAUCCAGGGCUACAAGCAAGUUUCCCGGAACCUGAGUGUCUCUCCCUGCUGACGUUGACAUGUUGGACUCUCACUGAUUUCUGCUGUGGCUCAUGGGAUUCCUGGCAGAGUGAUUUGGAAAUAUACUCUAUAAAAUCACAUUGCCAGGGAUUUCCAAUCAGUCACAGACCUAUCCUCCGCUGCUGGAGUGUCUCAGGGCCUACGUGUACAGACAUCUGGGCCGCAAACAAGGAAUUCCUCUGGUGUUCUGGGUAUAAUUCUACCGUGUGAAAUUGUGCACACAUGAAGGGAACACAUGGGCAGAGCAGGGUCCACGUGGGCAGGACUUAGCUGGCUCUGUGAACAGGUCUUCUGUGUUUAUGUUCACAGUGGCUAAGUUCCACCUCCCUGGAGUCACUAGCUGCUGCAGAGAAGCUGACUGAUCCACGGUGUCCACGCACGAUACUGGCUGUUAUCUCUGUAUCGUGUGUAGCCAAUCAUUAGAUUACACUAUUCUACUAUUUAGGGCUUCAGAGUAAUAUCAGACCUUAUAUCUGAAGAAAACGAAUCAGAACAAUCGCAACUCAUUCGCAACUGUGUACUCAUUCGCAGCCUACAUACAAUAACGGGGAACAUCAACUGCUCGAGUAUGGCUAGGCAGACCGGACGCAGCAGUAGCGACGCAGGCGCCAUUCUUCUCUGUGUACAUGAAGGCAGCUAACAUGAGAUACACCCCCCCCAAAAAAAAACAGCCAUGACACGCCUGUUUUUUCGCUGCCACUCCUCAAAACCACCCCAAAAGGGUCACUUCUUGUCAAUCACUCUGCAAAGAAUUCCUCACUGCGAGCGGAAUCUCAAAGGCACCUUUACAUGCACAGUCUGCCGAUAAUCGCUCAAUUGCAAAAAAACAUUGGCAUAGGCUACAACUCUGAAUCAGUCCCACUGUUUGCUGAAUCUGUCCGCAGUCUUGACAGGUGUCGAGUUUUGAAGAUCCUACUGUACUUUUAUAAUCUUUUUCUAAAUUGUGCGGUUUAUUAAGAUCUGAUUGUUUAAACAUUGUAACAAGUGGACAUGAUGGGGCCGAUUCUGAUUGGACGCAGCUCUCGAUUUUCCACUGACUGCGCACCUAUCUGUGUAUGAGUUACACGAUGUGUCCUCAGUAGCCAAUAGCUCCAUCCUAGUUGCGUCUCGAGCAGGCGGUGGAUAACAUGAAAUAGGUGCUCCUGCAUGGCAACUAUUCCGACUCAUGGAAAAGUUGCGUCUCGUGGGGAGCGCAGCCUGACUUCCGUGCUUGCUUGAGGCUUGCCGACGCAGCUGUGCCGCCUGUCUUUUGCACCCUCUAUGGGUCGGGUGCAAGUACCGUUACUAAUAAUGACAGCUGCGGAUGGAAAAAACACAUACACUCGCAUAGAUAGGGCAGUACGGAUGGUGUAAUGGUUAGCAUUACUGCCUCACAGCACUGAGGUCAUGGGUUCGAUUCCCACCAUGGCACUAACUGUGUGGAGUUUGUAUAUUCUCCCCGUACUUGCGUGGGUUUCCUCCGGGUACUCCAGUUUCCUCCCACAAUCCAAAAAUAUACUGGUAGGUCAAUUGGCUCCCAACAAAAUUAACCCUAGUGUGAAUGUGUCUGUAUGUACAUGUGAUAGGGAAUAUAAGACUGUAAGCUCCACUGGGGCAGGGACUGAUGUGAAUGGGCAAAUAUUCUCUGUACAGCGCUGCGGAAUAUGUGUGCGCCUAUAUAAGUAACUGGUAAUAAAUAAAUAAAAUAAAUAGAUGAGCAGGCAGUCCCAUUAGCAGGACCUAGUAAGUAUGCUGCUGCGGCUGGAUUACUGCAGGAAAGAAGAUUCCCAUUUAAAGGGGUUAAACAAUGCAUAUGGGGGGGUUGUAUUUAAUUACCGUUAUAGAGAAUUCUAUUUACUAAAAUGACACUUUAUUGCAUUAUUAUAUUGUGUACAAAUAGGGUAAUGCCACUUUAGUAUAUACAGUUUAGUAUAUACUACUAAUAGUAACAAUAAAGACGCAUCUCUGCUCCAUCAUAUUGACACUUGUACUGUAUUUGCCCGCCACGAUUGUUAGGCGUAACAACUGUUUUCCAGCCAGCCGUCUCUUGAGAUGUAUCAACAUAUACAGGUAGGUAAGCUUCUUUUUUUGAUGUGUUUGUAUUGGAUGCAGAAAGAUGAGCCCCUAUGUGUCUACGCAUCUACAGAGCAAAUAAGGGCAGCUAGCCUGUUUCAGGUCUGUAAUAAAAUAUAUAUAACGGAGUCAGGAUCAGUGUUACAAGGAUGAACGUUCUUCCGAUGCCACUCCGUUCUGCAUUUAGGUCUAUGUCACGCUCAGAAUAAAGAGAUUUCUAUAUGA